This 2787-nucleotide long non-coding RNA is filed under the name Phaseolus vulgaris (common bean). RNAcentral's name for it is "long non-coding RNA (PVUL_LNC000347)". The record is from RNAcentral. Lineage: Eukaryota; Viridiplantae; Streptophyta; Magnoliopsida; Fabales; Fabaceae.
UAGAAGAAGUGGAAGAAUUAGUGUAGCAUAAAGAUGCUGAAGUAGGUUAUUAUUAAUCCAACACUGCUGCAACUGAAUAAGCUACAUAUGUCAAACAUGCAGAGCUAAGAUUCAAAUUCAUCAUCAACUUUCAAAAUUGUGGAAGCCAUAGUCUGCAUGCUGAGGGUUGGUGGCACAAACAGCAUCACCGCUGGAUUCCUUUUCAGUGAUGCAUAGAGAUGCUCAUCCUUUUGCAGUAAUGCAUGGAGUUUGAUUCGUACAACGUUGAAGCUGUCUAAAACAUGUUUCAUCGCUGGAUUCCUUAUACUAUGCCAGAUCAAAGACAUGAAUUGGUAUUCAUUAAACAACAUCACACUUUAAUCCAAACAUCACAGUCACAGAAUUCCAACGCAAACCACAUGACAAUUAUUUAUUAAUGUAAUUAUCAAUUAUCACACAAUAAGUUUAUAGAAUUCCAUAUGACAAUUGCAUAUCAAUUAACUAAAAUUAUCUCACACCAUUUAUCCAUUUUUUAACUUAAUUAAACUUAUUUUAAGCAUUAUAAAUUCAUUUUAACCUAAAAUUACUACUUUUCUUUGAAAGGCUUUUUUUUUACAAUUUUAAUCUAAUUAUUUCUUGGUAAGUAUUCAAAGGAAGAAAACAAGAACUUUAAUGUUCUGGCCUGCAGAGCAGAUAUAAAACCAAUGAAAUUCUGAACUGCUAAAGUAGCAUGGUGCAGUAAACAGCAGCUGCUACUUUUUUGCAGAAUAGCUUGUGUUUGUAACCUAAUUCAGCAUCUCAAGGCUUUGACGUUAACUUUAUCUCAAUAAAGUUAUUAAAAUUCAUUGGAUCAAUGGUACACAUUUCAAUAUUUUCUUAUAAGAGAAAUUAUGAUGAAUUUUACAUGCACAGUUGAAUCUGACAAUCAAAUUUGACAUUUAUGCACAAAACCUAAGAAGUUCCAACGCAUGGUGGUAAAUUUGAAACAUACGGCAAAUUACAGUUGCCUUUUACUGCACCCUGCUAUUUUAACAGCUCAGAAUUUCAUUGGUUUGACUUUAUCUCUAUUUUGCAGGCAUCAAUAUUAAAGUUCUUGUUUCUUCAUAUGUGAGCUCACCAAGACAUAAUUAGAUUAAAAUUGAAAAAAAAAAUGCUUUGAAGGAAAAGUAGUAAUUUUAGUCUUUGCCAGAUUAUCUUAGCUUAUUCGUAAAAUCUAUAUUUUACACUAAAUAAUCACUUUUUAUAGAGGAAAACAAUGCAAUAUAUGAAUUAACGUUUACUUGCUAACUUCUUGAUCCUAUGCAAAAGACUUGAAAAUUAAAUUUAAGAAAAAAAAAUGCUAUCAUAACAAAAAGUUAUUAUUUUCAGGCAAAAUAUUAUCAUUAUGAUGAACUGUUUUUCUCUACAAAGUGAUUAUUUAUAAAAUAUGGAUUAAAGUGUGAUGUGGUUUAAUGAAAACCAAUGCAUGUAUUUGAUCUCACAGUGUAUAAGGAGUCCAACGAUGAUGGUGUUUCUGCCACCAACCCUCACCAUGCAUUGGCUGUUCAAUCUGAAACAUUUUUUUAAAGUUGAUCAUCAAGUUGAAUCUUACCUCUGCAUGUUUCACAUAUGUAGACAGCUUCAACAUUGUACCAAUCAAAUUCCAUGCAUCACUGCAAAAGGAUGAGCAUCUCUAUGCAUCACUGCAAAUGGAUGAAUUGCACCAGUGUUGGGCUAAUUACAUAAUUGAGCAUCUCAAUAACCUAGUUGAGCAUCUCUAUGCUACAUAUUAAUGCUUCCAUCUUAAUUUGUUUAUUAAUAUAUCAGAUUAUAUAUUAUCUGUAUGAGAAUUUAAUGAGAAAAUUUUGAUAAUGUUCUAGUUCUUGUACUUGGUGUUCUGUCUGGUGGUGGAGGUUGAUUUUCCAAGAAACGGUUUUGUUAUGUAGUAAUAGCGUGUGUAGUUCCCAAGAAAAUGAAUACUACUGCACUUAUUGUUUUGUAGCAAUCUUGGCCUAAUAACCUACUUCACCAUCUCAAUACUACAUUAAUGCUUCCAUCUUAAUUUCUUUAUUCAUUAAUAUAUCAGAUCAUAUAUUAUUUCUAACAAAAUUUAAGAAAACAUUUAAGACUCUAUAGAGGUGAGAACCUCUUGUUUGUUAUCUGUGUAUGGGUUGGAAUACGUGAAGUAUCCUCUUUUAUUAUAUUAUUUGUUAAUAAAAAAAUAAAAAUUGAAGAUUGGUGUUGUAACUUGUAUCGUAUGUAGUAAAUAUGUAGUAAAUAUUCAUUAACAAAAUUAUUUAGAGGUAGACAAUAUAUGAAUGAAGAUGUUUUUGUUUCUUAACUACUCUCAAUUGAAUUGAAAUGAAACUUUCUUUUUUUUAUAGCAAAGAAACUUUCAUUUGAAUCAAGUAAGACUACAAGCCAUUUUCAUUGGAAAAUAAAACUUUUAACACUCUUCAAGAUUUAUAUCAGACUAAAAACAAACAAUGAUUAACCAUGCAAUGUUCAUUUCCAGUCAGUUGUGCAAGAUAAGAUUUCACUCAUGCAUACAUUCUUUUUAUAAUAAAGAUAUAUUAUUAAAAUUUCAAAGAAUAGCUAAACACAUAGCAGUUACUAAACAAAAAAUGUACUUACCAGUCACGAAGUAAAUGAUUCCAUUUGCAAUAGUGAUGUAGCAAAGAAAUCAGCACCCAAAACAAAGAAAGGCUUUUUGAGAGGAAGAAAACCAGUGAAAAACACUUCUCACACAAGAAGGAACAAAUGGUAAAAGACUAGAUUGUAUGCUUGUUUGGGGAAAACCAGUGUGGUUUAUUCUUGUACAAACUAUUU